UACAGAGGUGGCAAGCGUUGUUCGGAAUUACUGGGCGUAAAGGGCGCGUAGGCGGCCUUCUAAGUCAGACGUGAAAUCCCCAGGCUUAACUUGGGAACUGCGUCUGAUACUGGGAGGCUUGAGUGCGGGAGAGGGAUGUGGAAUUCCCGGUGUAGCAGUGAAAUGCGUAGAGAUCGGGAGGAACAUCUGUGGCGAAGGCGACUGCCUGGACCAGCACUGACACUGAGGCACGAAAGCGUGGGGAGCAAACAGG
Molecule: ribosomal RNA, 253 nt
Filed under: uncultured bacterium
Lineage: Bacteria
Description: partial 16S ribosomal RNA
Rfam family: Bacterial small subunit ribosomal RNA
Source: RNAcentral